Peniophora sp. CONT is the source of this 93-nucleotide non-coding RNA. The record is from Rfam. Lineage: Eukaryota; Fungi; Basidiomycota; Agaricomycetes; Russulales; Peniophoraceae.
GGCAUCUUAGCCAAGUGGUUAAGGCGACAGAUUCGAACUUGCCGUUCUAUCUGUUGGGGUCUCCCCGCGUAGGUUCAAAUCCUGCAGAUGUCG